This 457-nucleotide ribosomal RNA is filed under the name uncultured Geobacter sp. Its description in RNAcentral is "bacterial SSU rRNA". It matches the Rfam family "Bacterial small subunit ribosomal RNA", at positions 923 to 1382 of the family's 1533-position model. Lineage: Bacteria; Pseudomonadati; Thermodesulfobacteriota; Desulfuromonadia; Geobacterales; Geobacteraceae. The record is from RNAcentral.
GCACAAGCGGUGGAUGAUGUGGAUUAAUUCGAUGCAACGCGAAAACCUUACCUACCCUUGACAUGUCUGGAACCUUGCUGAGAGGCGAGGGUGCCUUCGGGAGCCAGAACACAGGUGCUGCAUGGCUGUCGUCAGCUCGUGUCGUGAGAUGUUGGGUUAAGUCCCGCAACGAGCGCAACCCUUGUCAUUAGUUGCCAUCAUUUAGUUGGGCACUCUAAUGAGACUGCCGGUGGCAAACCGGAGGAAGGUGGGGAUGACGUCAAGUCCUCAUGGCCCUUAUGUCCAGGGCUACACACGUGCUACAAUGGCCGGUACAAAGGGUAGCAAGACCGCGAGGUGGAGCCAACCCCAAAAAGCCGGUCUCAGUUCGGAUUGGAGUCUGCAACUCGACUCCAUGAAGUUGGAAUCGCUAGUAAUCGUGGAUCAGCAUGCCACGGUGAAUACGUUCCCGGGCCUU